CCUCCGUAGGUGAACCUGCGGAGGGAUCAUUACAGAGUUCAUGCCCUACCGGGUAGAUCUCCCACCCUAUGUUAUCAUUACUUUGUUGCUUUGGCGGGCCGUUAGGCUCCGGCCCGACUACCGGCCCCGGCUGGUAAGCGCCCGCCAGAGGACCCAAAACCCUGAAUAUUAGUGUCGUCUGAGUACUAUAUAAUAGUUAAAACUUUCAACAACGGAUCUCUUGGUUCUG
This 229-nucleotide unclassified non-coding RNA is filed under the name plant metagenome. RNAcentral describes it as "partial contains small subunit ribosomal RNA, internal transcribed spacer 1, and 5.8S ribosomal RNA". The record is from RNAcentral.